UUCGUAUUGUUGUGAGAGAGGUGAAAUUCUUAGACCACAGCAAGACGAACUACUGCGAAAGCAUUUGCCAAGAAUGUUUUCAUUGAUCAAGAACGAAAGUUAGAGGUUCGAAGGCGAUCAGAUACCGCCCUAGUUCUAACCAUAAACUAUGCCAACUAGCAAUUUGCUUAUGUAUGUUUUAUGACUAAGUGAGAGGCCACGGGAAACCAAAGUAGGGUUAUGGGGGAAGUAUGGUUGCAAAGCUGAAACUUAAAGGAAUUGACGGAAGGGCACCACCAGGAGUGGAGCCUGCGGCUUAAUUUGACUCAACACGGGAAAACUUACCUGGUCCUGACACUAGAAGGAUUGACAGAUUGAUAGCUCUUUCUUGAUUUGGUGGAUGGUGGUGCAUGGCCGUUCUUAGUUGGUGGAGUGAUUUGUCUGGUUAAUUCCGAUAACGAACGAGACUCUAGCCUAUUAAAUAACACGCGGAAUCUUGUCUUCCGUGACGUUCCUUAAUGGGAUCAAGUGUGUUUUCCACUU
RNAcentral lists this ribosomal RNA (522 nucleotides) under Androlaelaps casalis. Its description in RNAcentral is "SSU rRNA". It matches the Rfam family "Eukaryotic small subunit ribosomal RNA", at positions 891 to 1438 of the family's 1831-position model. Lineage: Eukaryota; Metazoa; Arthropoda; Arachnida; Mesostigmata; Laelapidae. The record is from RNAcentral.